RNAcentral lists this ribosomal RNA (477 nucleotides) under uncultured bacterium. RNAcentral's name for it is "partial 16S ribosomal RNA". It matches the Rfam family "Bacterial small subunit ribosomal RNA", at positions 29 to 507 of the family's 1533-position model. The record is from RNAcentral.
AUUGAACGCUGGCGGCAUGCCUUACACAUGCAAGUCGAACGGGAACAGGUUAAGCUGACGAGUGGCGAACGGGUGAGUAAUGUAUCGGAACGUGCCCAGUCGUGGGGGAUAACUGCUCGAAAGAGCAGCUAAUACCGCAUACGACCUGAGGGUGAAAGCGGCGGAUCGCAAGACCUCGCGCGAUUGGAGCGGCCGAUAUCAUAUUAGGUAGUUGGUGAGGUAAAGGCUCACCAAGCCGACGAUCUGUAGCUGGUCUGAGAGGACGACCAGCCACACUGGGAGUGAGACACGGCACAGACUCCUGCGGGAGGACGCGGCGGGGAAUUUUGGACAAUGGGGCAGAGCCUAAUCCAGCCAUGCCGCGUGCGGGAAGAAGGCCUUCGGGUUGUAAACCGAUUUUGUCAGGGAAGAAAAGGUUCUGGCUAAUACCUGGGACUAAUGACGGUACCGGAAGAAUAAGCACCGGCUAACUCCGUG